AGUGGGGAAUAUUGGACAAUGGGCGAAAGCCUGAUCCAGCAAUGCCGCGUGAGUGAUGAAGGCCUUAGGGUUGUAAAGCUCUUUUACCCGGGAUGAUAAUGACAGUACCGGGAGAAUAAGCCCCGGCUAACUCCGUGCCAGCAGCCGCGGUAAUACGGAGGGGGCUAGCGUUGUUCGGAAUUACUGGGCGUAAAGCGCACGUAGGCGGCUUUGUAAGUUAGAGGUGAAAGCCCAGGGCUCAACCCUGGAACUGCCUUUAAGACUGCAUCGCUUGAACAUCGGAGAGGUAAGUGGAAUUCCGAGUGUAGAGGUGAAAUUCGUAGAUAUUCGGAAGAACACCAGUGGCGAAGGCGACUUACUGGACGAUUGUUGACGCUGAGGUGCGAAAGCGUGGGGAGCAAA
RNAcentral lists this ribosomal RNA (402 nucleotides) under uncultured Sphingomonas sp. Its description in RNAcentral is "bacterial SSU rRNA". It matches the Rfam family "Bacterial small subunit ribosomal RNA", at positions 353 to 772 of the family's 1533-position model. Lineage: Bacteria; Pseudomonadati; Pseudomonadota; Alphaproteobacteria; Sphingomonadales; Sphingomonadaceae. The record is from RNAcentral.